CUGUAGCCAACUAAGCCAACCGUGCUCUUUUCCCCAUGGGAGCCCAGGGGGCAAUGGCCUCAAGCAGCAGCCUCCCCAGUGGUGUAUGUUGCCGGUAUAGCUUUCCCUCAGUGACCUGAGAGACAAGC
This is a small nucleolar RNA of Cervus hanglu yarkandensis (Yarkand deer), 128 nucleotides long. Its record names the gene SNORA70. It matches the Rfam family "Small nucleolar RNA SNORA70". From Rfam's summary of the family: snoRNA U70 seems to be exclusive to mammals and is a member of the H/ACA class of snoRNA which contain H (ANANNA) and ACA box motifs. H/ACA box snoRNAs are involved in the conversion of uridines to pseudouridines (5-ribosyluracil) a constituent of structural RNAs (transfer, ribosomal, small nuclear, and small nucleolar). Lineage: Eukaryota; Metazoa; Chordata; Mammalia; Artiodactyla; Cervidae. The record is from Ensembl.